ACUUCAGGAGGGGAAGAGAGGAAGUGCGCUGGGCAAAGAGGAAACGAUGUCACAGGACACACUUUUGCUGUCUUUGCUGCUGUCGCCUAAGAGGUGGACACAGCUCCCGAGGACUUACGCUAGAAGCCAAGCCAGUCUCCUCACCUGAAAAAUGGGAAGAGCAAAAUAUCCUACCCUAGAGGGUUGCUGUGAGAGCCGAAAGCGUCUAUCCACGUGAAGCACAUGGGACAGAGCCUGGCACAAAGAAAAUGCUUCCCAGCUCCAUCAGCCCACCGCCCCCUCUGGCCUUCCCUCAAGAGCAGCCACUGGGCCUUGGUUGCCAUGGAGACAGUUUCCCUCAGAGGCUUUGCCUCCCAUCUUCUUUUCUUUUCUUUUCUUUUUUCUUUUUUUUUAAUUUGAGACAAGAUCUCGCUUUGUCACCCGGCCU
Molecule: long non-coding RNA, 427 nt
Filed under: Homo sapiens (human)
Lineage: Eukaryota; Metazoa; Chordata; Mammalia; Primates; Hominidae
Description: HSALNT0349688
Source: RNAcentral